AUUGAACGCUGGCGGCAUGCCUUACACAUGCAAGUCGAACGGUAACAGGUCUUCGGAUGCUGACGAGUGGCGAACGGGUGAGUAAUACAUCGGAACGUGCCCGAUCGUGGGGGAUAACGGAGCGAAAGCUUUGCUAAUACCGCAUACGAUCUACGGAUGAAAGCAGGGGACCGCAAGGCCUUGCGCGGACGGAGCGGCCGAUGGCAGAUUAGGUAGUUGGUGGGAUAAAAGCUUACCAAGCCGACGAUCUGUAGCUGGUCUGAGAGGACGACCAGCCACACUGGGACUGAGACACGGCCCAGACUCCUACGGGAGGCAGCAGUGGGGAAUUUUGGAGAAUGGGCGAAAGCCUGAUCCAGCCAUGCCGCGUGCAGGAUGAAGGCCUUCGGGUUGUAAACUGCUUUUGUACGGAACGAAAAGCCUCUUUCUAAUAAAGAGAGGUCAUGACGGUACCGUAAGAAUAAGCACCGGCUAACUACGUGCCAGCCGCCGCUGUAA
Molecule: ribosomal RNA, 498 nt
Filed under: uncultured bacterium
Lineage: Bacteria
Description: partial 16S ribosomal RNA
Rfam family: Bacterial small subunit ribosomal RNA
Source: RNAcentral